GACGAACGCUGGCGGCGUGCUUAACACAUGCAAGUCGAACGAAGCACUUUGAAAAGUUUACUUUUUAAAGUGACUGAGUGGCGGACGGGUGAGUAACGCGUGGGUAACCUGCCUCGCACAGGGGGAUAACAGUUAGAAAUGACUGCUAAUACCGCAUAAAAAUGGCAGUUUCGCAUGAAACAACCAUCAAAGAUUUAUCGGUGUGAGAUGGACCCGNGUCUGAUUAGCUAGUUGGUAAGGUAACGGCUUACCAAGGCGACGAUCAGUAGCCGACCUGACGAGGGUGACCGGCCACAUUGGGACUGAGACACGGCCC
This 316-nucleotide ribosomal RNA is filed under the name uncultured bacterium. RNAcentral's name for it is "bacterial SSU rRNA". It matches the Rfam family "Bacterial small subunit ribosomal RNA", at positions 28 to 332 of the family's 1533-position model. The record is from RNAcentral.